RNAcentral lists this ribosomal RNA (2064 nucleotides) under Salmonella enterica. RNAcentral's name for it is "partial 23S ribosomal RNA". It matches the Rfam family "Bacterial large subunit ribosomal RNA", at positions 757 to 2802 of the family's 2925-position model. The record is from RNAcentral. RNAcentral also lists the same sequence under 1 other name. Lineage: Bacteria; Pseudomonadati; Pseudomonadota; Gammaproteobacteria; Enterobacterales; Enterobacteriaceae.
UAACACUAACUGGAGGACCGAACCGACUAAUGUUGAAAAAUUAGCGGAUGACCUGUGGCUGGGGGUGAAAGGCCAAUCAAACCGGGAGAUAGCUGGUUCUCCCCGAAAGCUAUUUAGGUAGCGCCUCGUGAAUUCAUCUCCGGGGGUAGAGCACUGUUUCGGCUAGGGGGCCAUCCCGGCUUACCAACCCGAUGCAAACUGCGAAUACCGGAGAAUGUUAUCACGGGAGACACACGGCGGGUGCUAACGUCCGUCGUGAAGAGGGAAACAACCCAGACCGCCAGCUAAGGUCCCAAAGUCAUGGUUAAGUGGGAAACGAUGUGGGAAGGCCCAGACAGCCAGGAUGUUGGCUUAGAAGCAGCCAUCAUUUAAAGAAAGCGUAAUAGCUCACUGGUCGAGUCGGCCUGCGCGGAAGAUGUAACGGGGCUAAACCAUGCACCGAAGCUGCGGCAGCGACACUGUGUGUUGUUGGGUAGGGGAGCGUUCUGUAAGCCUGUGAAGGUGUGUCGUGAGGCAUGCUGGAGGUAUCAGAAGUGCGAAUGCUGACAUAAGUAACGAUAAAGCGGGUGAAAAGCCCGCUCGCCGGAAGACCAAGGGUUCCUGUCCAACGUUAAUCGGGGCAGGGUGAGUCGACCCCUAAGGCGAGGCCGAAAGGCGUAGUCGAUGGGAAACGGGUUAAUAUUCCCGUACUUGGUGUUACUGCGAAGGGGGGACGGAGAAGGCUAUGUUGGCCGGGCGACGGUUGUCCCGGUUUAAGCGUGUAGGUGUGUGUUCCAGGUAAAUCCGGUUCACUUUAACACUGAGGCGUGACGACGAGGCACUACGGUGCUGAAGCAACAAAUGCCCUGCUUCCAGGAAAAGCCUCUAAGCAUCAGGUAACAUCAAAUCGUACCCCAAACCGACACAGGUGGUCAGGUAGAGAAUACCAAGGCGCUUGAGAGAACUCGGGUGAAGGAACUAGGCAAAAUGGUGCCGUAACUUCGGGAGAAGGCACGCUGACACGUAGGUGAAGUGAUUUACUCAUGGAGCUGAAGUCAGUCGAAGAUACCAGCUGGCUGCAACUGUUUAUUAAAAACACAGCACUGUGCAAACACGAAAGUGGACGUAUACGGUGUGACGCCUGCCCGGUGCCGGAAGGUUAAUUGAUGGGGUCAGCGCAAGCGAAGCUCCUGAUCGAAGCCCCGGUAAACGGCGGCCGUAACUAUAACGGUCCUAAGGUAGCGAAAUUCCUUGUCGGGUAAGUUCCGACCUGCACGAAUGGCGUAAUGAUGGCCAGGCUGUCUCCACCCGAGACUCAGUGAAAUUGAACUCGCUGUGAAGAUGCAGUGUACCCGCGGCAAGACGGAAAGACCCCGUGAACCUUUACUAUAGCUUGACACUGAACAUUGAGCCUUGAUGUGUAGGAUAGGUGGGAGGCUUUGAAGUGUGGACGCCAGUCUGCAUGGAGCCGACCUUGAAAUACCACCCUUUAAUGUUUGAUGUUCUAACGUGGACCCGUUACCCGGGUUGCGGACAGUGUCUGGUGGGUAGUUUGACUGGGGCGGUCUCCUCCUAAAGAGUAACGGAGGAGCACGAAGGUUGGCUAAUCCUGGUCGGACAUCAGGAGGUUAGUGCAAUGGCAUAAGCCAGCUUGACUGCGAGCGUGACGGCGCGAGCAGGUGCGAAAGCAGGUCAUAGUGAUCCGGUGGUUCUGAAUGGAAGGGCCAUCGCUCAACGGAUAAAAGGUACUCCGGGGAUAACAGGCUGAUACCGCCCAAGAGUUCAUAUCGACGGCGGUGUUUGGCACCUCGAUGUCGGCUCAUCACAUCCUGGGGCUGAAGUAGGUCCCAAGGGUAUGGCUGUUCGCCAUUUAAAGUGGUACGCGAGCUGGGUUUAGAACGUCGUGAGACAGUUCGGUCCCUAUCUGCCGUGGGCGCUGGAGAACUGAGGGGGGCUGCUCCUAGUACGAGAGGACCGGAGUGGACGCAUCACUGGUGUUCGGGUUGUCAUGCCAAUGGCACUGCCCGGUAGCUAAAUGCGGAAGAGAUAAGUGCUGAAAGCAUCUAAGCACGAAACUUGCCCCGA